RNAcentral lists this ribosomal RNA (445 nucleotides) under uncultured bacterium. RNAcentral describes it as "partial 16S ribosomal RNA". It matches the Rfam family "Bacterial small subunit ribosomal RNA", at positions 354 to 796 of the family's 1533-position model. The record is from RNAcentral.
GUGAGGAAUAUUGGUCAAUGGGCGGAAGCCUGAACCAGCCAAGUCGCGUGAAGGAAGAAGGAUCUAUGGUUUGUAAACUUCUUUUGAAGGGGGAUAAAGUGGGUUACGAGUAACCCAUUGCAGGUACCCUUGGAAUAAGCAUCGGCUAACUCCGUGCCAGCAGCCGCGGUAAUACGGAGGAUGCGAGCGUUAUCCGGAUUUAUUGGGUUUAAAGGGUGCGUAGGUGGCUUUUUAAGUCAGCGGUGAAAACUGGCGGCUCAACCGCAAGAGUGCCGUUGAAACUGGGGAGCUAGAGUAUGAACGAGGUAGGCGGAAUGUGUGGUGUAGCGGUGAAAUGCAUAGAUAUCACGCAGAACUCCGAUAGCGAAGGCAGCUUACCAGGCCAUAACAGACACUGAAGCACGAAAGCGUGGGGAUCGAACAGGAUUAGAUACCCGGGUAGUCC